RNAcentral lists this ribosomal RNA (116 nucleotides) under Candidatus Andersenbacteria bacterium RIFCSPHIGHO2_02_FULL_46_16. RNAcentral also lists the same sequence under 4 other names. Lineage: Bacteria; Candidatus Anderseniibacteriota. The record is from RNAcentral.
CUUGGUGCUUUAGCGAUGGGGAUACACCUGUUCCCAUUCCGAACACAGAAGUUAAGCCCAUCAGCGCCGAUGGUAGUUAGGAGUGAUACCCUGGCAAGAGUAGGCCAGUGCCAAGC